AUGAUGACGGCAAUGGUGAAGGCCGAGCCGACGGCGGCGGAGGGGAGCAGCGGGCGGAGGGACGCGGAGGCGGAGCUCAACCUGCCGCCGGGCUUCCGCUUCCACCCCACGGACGACGAGCUCGUCGUGCACUACCUCUGCAGGAAGGUGGCGGGCCAGCCGCAGCCCGUGCCCAUCAUCGCCGAGGUCGAUCUCUACAAGUUCAACCCCUGGGAUCUGCCCGAGAGGGCGCUGUUCGGGAGCAGGGAGUGGUACUUCUUCACGCCACGCGACCGCAAGUACCCCAACGGCUCGCGCCCCAACCGCUCCGCCGGCACCGGCUACUGGAAGGCCACCGGCGCCGACAAGCCCGUGGCGCCCAAGGAGAGCGGCGGCAGGACGGUCGGCAUCAAGAAGGCGCUCGUCUUCUACUCCGGCAGGGCGCCCAGGGGCGUCAAGACCGACUGGAUCAUGCACGAGUACCGCAUCGCCGAAGCCGACCGCGCACCCGGCAAGAAGGGAUCCCUCAAGCUGGACGAAUGGGUGCUGUGCCGGCUGUACAACAAGAAGAACAACUGGGAGAAGGUCAAGGUGGAGCAGGACAUGGCUGUGGAGGCCGGGCCAAACGGGGAGGUCAUGGACGCGCUGGCGACCGACGCCAUAUCCGACAGCUUCCAGACGCACGACUCCUCGGAGAUCGACAGCGCCUCCGGCCUGCAGCAGCGCGUCUUCACGGACAUGGCGCAGGGGCAGCCGAGAGGCGGCAUGGUGACGGUGAAGGAGGACAGCGACUGGUUCACCGGCCUGAGCAUGGACGACCUGCAGACUUGCUAUAUGAACAUGGGGCAGAUGGUGAACCCGGCGACGAUGCCUGGGCAGGACGGCAGCGGCUACCUACAGUCGAUGAGCUCACCGCAGAUGAUGAGGCCGAUGUGGCAAACAAUCUUGCCACCAUUCUGA
RNAcentral lists this ribosomal RNA (939 nucleotides) under Triticum aestivum (bread wheat). Its description in RNAcentral is "partial small subunit ribosomal RNA". Lineage: Eukaryota; Viridiplantae; Streptophyta; Magnoliopsida; Poales; Poaceae. The record is from RNAcentral.